This 90-nucleotide transfer RNA is filed under the name Methylocystis sp. RNAcentral describes it as "tRNA-Ser". It matches the Rfam family "tRNA". Rfam says of the family: Transfer RNA (tRNA) molecules are approximately 80 nucleotides in length. Their secondary structure includes four short double-helical elements and three loops (D, anti-codon, and T loops). Further hydrogen bonds mediate the characteristic L-shaped molecular structure. tRNAs have two regions of fundamental functional importance: the anti-codon, which is responsible for specific mRNA codon recognition, and the 3' end, to which the tRNAs corresponding amino acid is attached (by aminoacyl-tRNA synthetases). tRNAs cope with the degeneracy of the genetic code in two manners: having more than one tRNA (with a specific anti-codon) for a particular amino acid; and 'wobble' base-pairing, i.e. permitting non-standard base-pairing at the 3rd anti-codon position. Lineage: Bacteria; Pseudomonadati; Pseudomonadota; Alphaproteobacteria; Hyphomicrobiales; Methylocystaceae. RNAcentral also lists the same sequence under 4 other names. The record is from RNAcentral.
GGAGAUGUGGCCGAGAGGCUGAAGGCGACGGUUUGCUAAAUCGUUAUAGGGGAAACCCUAUCGUGGGUUCGAAUCCCACCGUCUCCGCCA